AGCGAACGCUGGCGGCAGGCCUAACACAUGCAAGUCGAACGGAUCCUUCGGGAUUAGUGGCGGACGGGUGAGGAACACGUGGGAACGUGCCUUUUGGUUCGGAACAACUCAGGGAAACUUGGGCUAAUACCGGAUGAGAGUGCGAGAGAUUGCAUUUAAAAGGAUGGCGAAAGUUGUCGCUUAGGGAUGAGCCUGCGGUCUAUUAGUUAGUUGGUGAGGUAAGAGCUCACCAAGGCGAUGAUAGAUAGGCGGCCUUAACGGGUGGUCGCCCACACUGGGAUUGAGAUACGGCCCAGACUCCUACGGGAGGCAGCAGUCGAGAAUAGUCUACAAUGGCCGGAAGGCUGAUAGUGCGACGCCGCGUGAACGAGGGAGCCCUUCGGGGUGUAAAGUUCUUUUCUAUACGAGCAGUGCUAUAUAUAUGGAUAGUAUAUAUAGAGGGAUAGUAGUAUAGGAAUAAGCAACGGCUAACUCCGUGCCAGCAGCCGCGGUAAU
Molecule: ribosomal RNA, 495 nt
Filed under: uncultured bacterium
Lineage: Bacteria
Description: bacterial SSU rRNA
Rfam family: Bacterial small subunit ribosomal RNA
Source: RNAcentral